CCAGAGAUGGUUUCGUGCUCGAAAGAGAACCUGCACGCAGGUGCUGCAUGGCUGUCGUCAGCUCGUGUCGUGAGAUGUUGGGUUAAGUCCCGCAACGAGCGCAACCCUUGCCAUCAGUUGCUACGAAAGGGCACUCUGAUGGGACUGCCGGUGACAAACCGGAGGAAGGUGGGGAUGACGUCAAGUCCUCAUGGCCCUUAUAGGUGGGGCUACACACGUCAUACAAUGGCCGGUACAAAGGGCAGCCAACCCGCGAGGGGGAGCCAAUCCCAUAAAGCCGGUCGUAGUCCGGAUCGCAGUCUGCAACUCGACUGCGUGAAGUCGGAAUCGCUAGUAAUCGUGGAUCAGCAUGUCACGGUGAAUACGUUCCCGGGUCUU
This 378-nucleotide ribosomal RNA is filed under the name uncultured Hydrogenophaga sp. RNAcentral's name for it is "bacterial SSU rRNA". It matches the Rfam family "Bacterial small subunit ribosomal RNA", at positions 1000 to 1382 of the family's 1533-position model. Lineage: Bacteria; Pseudomonadati; Pseudomonadota; Betaproteobacteria; Burkholderiales; Comamonadaceae. The record is from RNAcentral.